GGAAGGCUCGUCCGCUCUGGGUUAGUCGGGUCCUAAGCUGAGGCCGACAGGCGUAGGCGAUGGAUAACAGGUUGAUAUUCCUGUACCACCUAUAAUCGUUUUAAUCGAUGGGGGGACGCAGUAGGAUAGGCGAAGCGUGCGAUUGGAUUGCACGUCUAAGCAGUAAGGCUGAGUAUUAGGCAAAUCCGGUACUCGUUAAGGCUGAGCUGUGAUGGGGAGAAGACAUUGUGUCUUCGAGUCGUUGAUUUCACACUGCCGAGAAAAGCCUCUAGAUAGAAAAUAGGUGCCCGUACCGCAAACCGACACAGGUAGUCAAGAUGAGAAUUCUAAGGUGAGCGAGCGAACUCUCGUUAAGGAACUCGGCAAAAUGACCCCGUAACUUCGGGAGAAGGGGUGCUCUUUAGGGUUAACGCCCAGAAGAGCCGCAGUGAAUAGGCCCAAGCGACUGUUUAUCAAAAACACAGGUCUCUGCUAAACCGUAAGGUGAUGUAUAGGGGCUGACGCCUGCCCGGUGCUGGAAGGUUAAGAGGAGUGGUUAGCUUCUGCGAAGCUACGAAUCGAAGCCCCAGUAAACGGCGGCCGUAACUAUAACGGUCCUAAGGUAGCGAAAUUCCUUGUCGGGUAAGUUCCGACCCGCACGAAAGGCGUAACGAUUUGGGCACUGUCUCAACGAGAGACUCGGUGAAAUCAUAGUACCUGUGAAGAUGCAGGUUACCCGCGACAGGACGGAAAGACCCCGUGGAGCUUUACUGUAGCCUGAUAUUGAAAUUCGGCACAGCUUGUACAGGAUAGGUAGGAGCCUUUGAAACGUGAGCGCUAGCUUACGUGGAGGCGCUGGUGGGAUACUACCCUAGCUGUGUUGGCUUUCUAACCCGCACCACUUAUCGUGGUGGGAGACAGUGUCAGGCGGGCAGUUUGACUGGGGCGGUCGCCUCCUAAAAGGUAACGGAGGCGCUCAAAGGUUCCCUCAGAAUGGUUGGAAAUCAUUCAUAGAGUGUAAAGGCAUAAGGGAGCUUGACUGCGAGACCUACAAGUCGAGCAGGGUCGAAAGACGGACUUAGUGAUCCGGUGGUUCCGCAUGGAAGGGCCAUCGCUCAACGGAUAAAAGCUACCCCGGGGAUAACAGGCUUAUCUCCCCCAAGAGUUCACAUCGACGGGGAGGUUUGGCACCUCGAUGUCGGCUCAUCGCAUCCUGGGGCUGUAGUCGGUCCCAAGGGUUGGGCUGUUCGCCCAUUAAAGCGGUACGCGAGCUGGGUUCAGAACGUCGUGAGACAGUUCGGUCCCUAUCCGUCGUGGGCGUAGGAAAUUUGAG
This 1312-nucleotide ribosomal RNA is filed under the name Staphylococcus aureus. Its description in RNAcentral is "partial 23S ribosomal RNA". It matches the Rfam family "Bacterial large subunit ribosomal RNA", at positions 1359 to 2666 of the family's 2925-position model. The record is from RNAcentral. Lineage: Bacteria; Bacillati; Bacillota; Bacilli; Caryophanales; Staphylococcaceae.